ACCUAUGAUGCAGUGCCCAAAAUGUGAGAUGUAGGUUUCUCCAAGUCCCUGUUAGUCAGGGAGAACCUACUUGGGGGGCCUACAUUAUAAUGAGAUUAAUGGGCUGUUACUGAGGU
Oryza rufipogon (brownbeard rice) is the source of this 116-nucleotide small nucleolar RNA. It matches the Rfam family "Small nucleolar RNA Z278". Rfam says of the family: snoZ278 is a C/D box small nucleolar RNA. Its methylation guide targets have not been reported. Lineage: Eukaryota; Viridiplantae; Streptophyta; Magnoliopsida; Poales; Poaceae. The record is from Rfam.